Non-coding RNA from Echinostoma caproni, 45 nucleotides. The record is from Rfam. NCBI's taxonomy places the organism in Eukaryota, Metazoa, Platyhelminthes, Trematoda, Plagiorchiida, Echinostomatidae.
GCACUGCUGACGAGUCCCAAACGGGACUAAACAGCCGUCCGGUGU